Molecule: ribosomal RNA, 254 nt
Filed under: uncultured bacterium
Lineage: Bacteria
Description: partial 16S ribosomal RNA
Rfam family: Bacterial small subunit ribosomal RNA
Source: RNAcentral
UACGUAGGUGGCAAGCGUUGUCCGGAUUUACUGGGCGUAAAGAGCGCGCAGGCGGUCGUUCAAGUCGCGUGUGAAAGCCCCCGGCUCAACUGGGGAGGGUCACGCGAUACUGAUCGACUUGAAGGCAGGAGAGGGUAGUGGAAUUCCCGGUGUAGUGGUGAAAUGCGUAGAUAUCGGGAGGAACACCAGUGGCGAAGGCGACUACCUGGCCUGUUUCUUGACGCUGAGGCGCGAAAGCUAGGGGAGCAAACGGG